UUUUCUUUGAUAACUUUCUCUGUUGAAGUGGAGAAUGAACUGAGAGCCAUGAAAGCUAACAAGUCUGCAGAAAUGUGCAAAAUGCUUGUGAUCAACCAGGAAUUCCAGCCCUUGAAAGAUGCAGAAAUAUGUGGAGAUACAGAGAAAAGCUGUUGUCCUUUGUGGAUCUGCAGAGGUUUCCUCCCCCCGGAAUGCAUAUAAAGGGAUAUCCAAAGCAAUUA
Haliotis rubra (blacklip abalone) is the source of this 221-nucleotide long non-coding RNA. RefSeq lists it as uncharacterized. The transcript is spliced from 3 exons. Lineage: Eukaryota; Metazoa; Mollusca; Gastropoda; Lepetellida; Haliotidae. The record is from RefSeq and is a predicted model, not a curated record.